UCUCUUUACGCGAAUUGGGGUGAAAACCCUAGUCGGGUGUACAGCCAGACUCAAAUUUAUUGAGCGGG
Molecule: small RNA, 68 nt
Filed under: Vibrio crassostreae
Lineage: Bacteria; Pseudomonadati; Pseudomonadota; Gammaproteobacteria; Vibrionales; Vibrionaceae
Description: Retron msr RNA
Rfam family: Retron msr RNA
About the family: Retron elements are found in a wide range of mainly Gram-negative bacteria. The retron encodes a reverse transcriptase that is responsible for the production of a small satellite DNA called msDNA (multi-copy single-stranded DNA). msDNA has both DNA (encoded by the retron msd gene) and RNA (encoded by the msr gene) components.
Source: RNAcentral